This 71-nucleotide transfer RNA is filed under the name Inoviridae sp. RNAcentral's name for it is "tRNA-Gln". It matches the Rfam family "tRNA". From Rfam's summary of the family: Transfer RNA (tRNA) molecules are approximately 80 nucleotides in length. Their secondary structure includes four short double-helical elements and three loops (D, anti-codon, and T loops). Further hydrogen bonds mediate the characteristic L-shaped molecular structure. tRNAs have two regions of fundamental functional importance: the anti-codon, which is responsible for specific mRNA codon recognition, and the 3' end, to which the tRNAs corresponding amino acid is attached (by aminoacyl-tRNA synthetases). tRNAs cope with the degeneracy of the genetic code in two manners: having more than one tRNA (with a specific anti-codon) for a particular amino acid; and 'wobble' base-pairing, i.e. permitting non-standard base-pairing at the 3rd anti-codon position. The record is from RNAcentral. Lineage: Floreoviria; Loebvirae; Hofneiviricota; Faserviricetes; Tubulavirales; Inoviridae.
AGCGGGGUGAUGCAAUGGUAGCAUGUCACACUCUGAAUGUGAAACUUCUGGUUCGAAUCCAGACCCCGCAA